This 413-nucleotide ribosomal RNA is filed under the name uncultured microorganism. RNAcentral's name for it is "bacterial SSU rRNA". It matches the Rfam family "Archaeal small subunit ribosomal RNA", at positions 330 to 745 of the family's 1478-position model. The record is from RNAcentral.
GUGCAGCAGGCGAGAAACCUCCGCAAUGCGCGCAAGCGCGACGGGGCCAUCCCGAGUGCCGCUCGCUGAGGGCGGCUUUUCUCCGGUGUAAGUAGCCGGAGGAAUAAGGAGAGGGCAAGUCUGGUGUCAGCCGCCGCGGUAAUACCAGCUCUCCGAGUGGUGGGGACGAUUAUUGGGCCUAAAGCGUCCGUAGCCGGCUUGACAAGUCUCCCGUUAAAUCCAGCGGCCUAACCGCUGGGCUGCGGGAGAUACUGUCAAGCUUGGGGGCGGGAGAGGCCGGCGGUAUUCCCGGGGUAGGGGUGAAAUCCGUUAAUCCCGGGAGGACCACCAGUGGCGAAGGCGGCCGGCCAGAACGCGCCCGACGGUGAGGGACGAAAGCUGGGGGAGCGAACCGGAUUAGAUACUCCUGUAGU